UUUUAUUUGAGAGUUUGAUCCUGGCUCAGGAUGAACGCUGGCGGCGUGCCUAACACAUGCAAGUUGAGCGAUUUACUUCGGUAAAGAGCGGCGGACGGGUGAGUAACGCGUGGGUAACCUACCCUGUACACACGGAUAACAUACCGAAAGGUAUGCUAAUACGGGAUAAUAUAUUUGAGAGGCAUCUCUUAAAUAU
Molecule: ribosomal RNA, 196 nt
Filed under: Clostridioides difficile
Lineage: Bacteria; Bacillati; Bacillota; Clostridia; Peptostreptococcales; Peptostreptococcaceae
Description: partial 16S ribosomal RNA
Rfam family: Bacterial small subunit ribosomal RNA
Source: RNAcentral